RNAcentral lists this ribosomal RNA (483 nucleotides) under Triticum aestivum (bread wheat). Its description in RNAcentral is "partial small subunit ribosomal RNA". Lineage: Eukaryota; Viridiplantae; Streptophyta; Magnoliopsida; Poales; Poaceae. The record is from RNAcentral.
AUGUUAGUCAUAAACUCCACGAUCGAGCUGGUGACAGUCUGGGCGUCCUCCAGCCCGUCGCUCGUGGCCUUCUGCUUCUCCCAUGUCAUCAUCGCCGUCCUCCUCCUCGGCGGCCGCGGCUGCACACCUAGCUAUAAGGGCCGCGCCAAGGAGCGCGUCACGGGAGGUUCUGAAGCUCAGACGCCGUGUGCUGCUCAAAUACAAGGAGACGAAUGGAACAAUGGAGGACACGAUGGCGCCGUCACUGCCACUGCCAUGGGCGACAGGGACUGCGGCCGCGCAGAAGAAUGCUCCAUGGAAGCAGGCGAAGUUGACGCGGCCACCCAUCGGCCACGGCCAAGAGAAAAGAGUGGCGGACGUGACGACGUGUAUAUUGCUGCUGACGCGUCAUCGUCAGAGGAGGAGAAACGCGAGGACGAGGAGGACGAACUCAUGAUGAGAGCAGAAGAGUUAAUCCAGAGGAUGAACAGGGUGUGGAGGACG